CUUAAGGAUCUUGGGUACUUUGUGCCACACUUGUCAUAUUUUCGAAUAAAGCAGCUCGAGGAGAGAGAAAGCAAUGUGCUUGUGACUGCUGAGAGGCUUUGUCGAAUUAAUCAACAUGACAUGGUAUGAAACAUUUUUUUUAUCAUUCUUUUAACUUUAGUUAUGUUAUAUAUUUUAACUUUCAUAACGUUAUUAUCAUCUUUUAGGAUCGUUUUGGUACAACCAACGCGGCAACGAGUUUUCGUGCCAUUCUGGCUCAAGUCUUGGAUGUGUUGGAUUUGACUUACAUGGGUGGAAACCCCAUAUUCAC
This 310-nucleotide long non-coding RNA is filed under the name Setaria italica (foxtail millet). RNAcentral describes it as "long non-coding RNA (SITA_LNC006643)". Lineage: Eukaryota; Viridiplantae; Streptophyta; Magnoliopsida; Poales; Poaceae. The record is from RNAcentral.